This 354-nucleotide ribosomal RNA is filed under the name uncultured bacterium. Its description in RNAcentral is "bacterial SSU rRNA". It matches the Rfam family "Bacterial small subunit ribosomal RNA", at positions 28 to 371 of the family's 1533-position model. The record is from RNAcentral.
GACGAACGCUGGCGGCGUGCCUAAUACAUGCAAGUCGAGCGGACAACUGAGAGCUUGCUCUCAGUUGUUAGCGGCGGACGGGUGAGUAACACGUGGGUAACCUGCCUGUAAGAUUGGGAUAACUCCGGGAAACCGGAGCUAAUACCGGAUAACAUUUUGAACCGCAUGGUUCAAAAUUGAAAGAUGGCUUUUAGCUAUCACUUACAGAUGGACCCGCGCGCACUUAGCUAGUUGGUGAGGUAAUGGCUCACCAAGGCGACGAUGCGUAGCCGACUGAGAGGGUGAUCGGCCACACGUGGGACUGAGACGACGGCCAGACUCCGUACGGGAGCAGCAGUAGGGAAUCUUCCGCAA